This is a long non-coding RNA of Xiphias gladius (swordfish), 320 nucleotides long. RefSeq lists it as uncharacterized. Lineage: Eukaryota; Metazoa; Chordata; Actinopteri; Istiophoriformes; Xiphiidae. The record is from RefSeq and is a predicted model, not a curated record. The transcript is spliced from 3 exons.
AUGAGGUUGAAGGAAUUGCCUGCAGACAGGAUUGUGUCCAAGCACAGAUCUGGAGAAGUCUACAAAAAACUUCUGCUGCAUUGAAGGUUCCUAAGAGCACAGUGGCCUCCAUAACUCUUAAAUUGAAGAAGUUCGGAACAACCAGGACUCUUCAUAGAGCUGACCCAGCCAAAGAGCAGUAAGAAAAGCCACGGCCUGGAAAGUAGAAUCUGCCAAGCAAGGUGUCCUUAGUAGACUCGCCUCCAAAGAGGAGUUAAAUUAACCAAUCUACUUGCUUGACCCAUAGGUAUACAUGAAGCUUUGUUGAGAUUUGGGAGGUG